Non-coding RNA from Sesamum indicum (sesame), 369 nucleotides. NCBI's taxonomy places the organism in Eukaryota, Viridiplantae, Streptophyta, Magnoliopsida, Lamiales, Pedaliaceae. The record is from RefSeq and is a predicted model, not a curated record.
UCAAUAAGUUCUUAAAAAGUUAGAGCUUCCGUUUCCAUGUGUCCGGUCGAUUGCAAUUGCAAUUGUUCGAAUAGAGUCUGCUGAGCUGAACGAUCUUGUUUCCUGCAAUUAGGGGGUUAUAGACAAGCAGCCAAGUUAGGCUCAGUGCAUCAGAACAAUAUUUUCUUGAAGCUGAAUGGUGCAAAACAGGACCACUCUGGGCAUAAUGUAAUCGUGGAUUUGGAAAAUGAAUAUCUGAGUCCCCCUCCAACUCCCGAGCGUCCCUUUGCUUUCACUGAAAUCAAAAGAAUGGAGUAGAUCCUUUCAGAGGCAAAAGAGAUGCAGACGGAAAUAUAUCCUUCCAUACAGAGGGUUUGAAUAUGAUGAAUG